Molecule: ribosomal RNA, 865 nt
Filed under: uncultured Alphaproteobacteria bacterium
Lineage: Bacteria; Pseudomonadati; Pseudomonadota; Alphaproteobacteria
Description: bacterial SSU rRNA
Rfam family: Bacterial small subunit ribosomal RNA
Source: RNAcentral
CCAUCAAAACUUUUUAGCUAGAGUAUGAUAGAGGAAAGCAGAAUUUCUAGUGUAGAGGUGAGAUUCGUAGAUAUUAGAAAGAAUACCAAUUGCGAAGGCAGCUUUCUGGAUCAUUACUGACGCUGAGGAACGAAAGCAUGGGUAGCGAAGAGGAUUAGAUACCCUCGUAGUCCAUGCCGUAAACGAUGUGUGUUAGACGUUGGAAAUUUAUUUUCAGUGUCGCAGCGAAAGCAUUAAACACACCGCCUGGGGAGUACGACCGCAAGGUUAAAACUCAAAUGAAUUGACGGGGACCCGCACAAGUAGUGGAGCAUGUGGUUUAAUUCGAAGAUACGCGCAGAACCUUACCAACACUUGACAUGUUCGUCGCGACUCUAAGAGAUUAGAGUUUUCGGUUCGGCCGGACGAAACACAGGUGCUGCAUGGCUGUCGUCAGCUCGUGUCGUGAGAUGUUGGGUUAAGUCCCGCAACGAGCGCAACCCUCACUUUUAGUUGCCAUCAUUUAGUUGGGCACUCUGAAAGAACUGCCAGUGAUAAGCUGGAGGAAGGUGGGGAUGACGUCAAGUCCUCAUGGCCCUUACGUGUUGGGCUACACACGUGCUACAAUGGCAUUUACAAUAGGAAGCAAGAUGGCGACAUCAAGCAAAUCCUAAAAAGAUGCCUCAGUUCGGAUUGUACUCUGCAACUCGAGUACAUGAAGCUGGAAUUACUAGUAAUCGCGGAUCAGCGCGCCGCGGUGAAUACGUUCCCGGGUCUUGUACACACCGCCCGUCACACCAUGGGAGUUGGUUCUACCUUAAGGCAAGGUUUAAAACCCUUGACCACGGUAUAGUCAGCGACUGGGGUGAAGUCGUAACAAGGUAAC